GGAUGUGAGGGCGAUCUGGCUGCGACAUCUGUCACCCCAUUGAUCGCCAGGGUUGAUUCGGCUGAUCUGGCUGGCUAGGCGGGUGUCCCCUUCCUCCCUCACCACUCCAUGUGCGUCCCUCCCGAAGCUGCGCGCUCGGUCGAAGAGGACGACCAUCCCCGAUAGAGGAGGACCGUUCUUCGGUCAAGGGUAUACGAGUAGCUGCGCUCCCCUGCUAGAACCUCCAAACAAGCUCUCAAGGUCCAAGUUAACUGAGUUUCACACUGUACAGUUUAUCAUGUGACUUUAUGCACUACUUUACAGUGAUUAAAAAAUAUGUAGCUUUCAUAUAA
This 332-nucleotide small nuclear RNA is filed under the name Castor canadensis (American beaver). RNAcentral's name for it is "7SK RNA (ENSCCNG00000014020.1)". It matches the Rfam family "7SK RNA". Rfam says of the family: 7SK was discovered as an abundant small nuclear RNA in the mid-70s but a possible function has only recently been suggested. Two independent studies have found that 7SK RNA binds the CDK9/cyclin T complex (known as elongation factor P-TEFb). P-TEFb activates transcription by phosphorylating the C-terminal domain of RNA polymerase II. Lineage: Eukaryota; Metazoa; Chordata; Mammalia; Rodentia; Castoridae. The record is from Rfam by way of RNAcentral.